This 1117-nucleotide long non-coding RNA is filed under the name Canis lupus familiaris (dog). RNAcentral describes it as "lncRNA (ENSCAFG00030002078.1)". Lineage: Eukaryota; Metazoa; Chordata; Mammalia; Carnivora; Canidae. The record is from RNAcentral.
CACCAUGGGAGGCAGUGGCCACCCUGCCAUGUUUCUGCCUCUUUCCCCACAACCUUGAACUUUUCCUGACCUCUCCAUGAAUUGCAUUCAUGUGGGGUCUUUGGCCUGAAACCCAUACCUGAGAGAGGAGCUGUUUCAAGGGCAAAGCCGGUGUUCUUCAGGAAACAUUCAGCCACUGGGAGCAGUGGGGUCCAGGAAGGCUCCAAGGAGGCAUUGCAGGACUCAGAUCUAUUACCUUUGUUCUUUGGUGCUGCUUCUUUGUUGUCUAUGAAAGUGUAAUGCACCCUGAUGAUGCACAGCUGUGACCUGGACUUCAAAGAGACCUGAAGGAAAUUGGGUUAGCACAAUUGCAUUUGGACCCUAUUUUAAGCAACUAUAGACGUACACUUGUAAAAAUGGAAUUUAAAUGGGAUUUUUACAAAUGUGUAAGUCUUUUCCAAUUUAUAAUAUUUGUAGUGAUAUAAAUUUGGAGAUUCUUUUCACUUUUUGACAAUAGCCUUUAAGACUUCAAUCUUGAAUUUCUCUGUUUCUAGCACCUUAAGUUAAGGAGCCUAUAAACUGGUGAUGUAUCAACACCUGUAUCAACACAAUUCAUUCUUCAAGAUAUCUUUUGAUGAAGAAUUUUGUCACUGAUAGAAUCUCCUUGUUAGGGCAACAAUAUUACAGGUAAACUCAGUUUAUUUUGUGUUAUAUUGCCUUUUUUAUUUUUAAAACAUCUUUACUUUUUGUUGGUUGCAGAAGUGUAAAAAGGUAGUAUAGGGAUGCCUGGGUGGCUUAGUGGUUGAGUAUCUAUCUGUCUUUAGCUGAGCUUGUGAUCCUGGGGUCCUAGGAAGGAGUCCUGCAUUGGGCUCCCCGCAGGAAGCCUGCUUCUCACUCUGCCUGUGUCUCUGACUUUUUCUGUCUCUCAAGAAUAAAUAAACAAAAUCUUUAAAAAAAGUAGUAUUAAAAAUACAUUUUUAAAAUAAUAAAAUUUACAAAGUUUAAAGUGAAAACUUACUAAUCUCACUUGAAGAGAUAAAGCAUCCAGAAUUUGUUAUGCAAAGUUCUAAACAUUUCUACAUAUAUUUAGGACAUGAAGAGCCUCCACUAACCAUAUAAUAUAUGGUUAUAUAUGGCA